This 252-nucleotide ribosomal RNA is filed under the name uncultured bacterium. RNAcentral describes it as "partial 16S ribosomal RNA". It matches the Rfam family "Bacterial small subunit ribosomal RNA", at positions 524 to 776 of the family's 1533-position model. The record is from RNAcentral.
UACGUAGGUCCCGAGCGUUGUCCGGAUUUAUUGGGCGUAAAGCGAGCGCAGGCGGUUUAAUAAGUCUGAAGUUAAAGGCAGUGGCUUAACCAUUGUUCGCUUUGGAAACUGUUAAACUUGAGUGCAGAAGGGGAGAGUGGAAUUCCAUGUGUAGCGGUGAAAUGCGUAGAUAUAUGGAGGAACACCGGUGGCGAAAGCGGCUCUCUGGUCUGUAACUGACGCUGAGGCUCGAAAGCGUGGGGAGCAAACGGG